This 425-nucleotide ribosomal RNA is filed under the name uncultured bacterium. RNAcentral's name for it is "partial 16S ribosomal RNA". It matches the Rfam family "Bacterial small subunit ribosomal RNA", at positions 354 to 796 of the family's 1533-position model. The record is from RNAcentral.
GUGGGGAAUAUUGGACAAUGGGCGAAAGCCUGAUCCAGCCAUGCCGCGUGAGUGAUGAAGGCCUUAGGGUUGUAAAGCUCUUUCAGUGGGGACGAUAAUGACGGUACCCACAGAAGAAGCCCCGGCUAACUUCGUGCCAGCAGCCGCGGUAAUACGAAGGGGGCUAGCGUUGUUCGGAUUUACUGGGCGUAAAGCGCACGUAGGCGGAUCGUUAAGUCAGGGGUGAAAUCCUGGAGCUCAACUCCAGAACUGCCUUUGAUACUGGCGAUCUAGAGUCCGGAAGAGGUGAGUGGAACUCCUAGUGUAGAGGUGGAAUUCGUAGAUAGUAGGAAGAACACCAGUGGCGAAGGCGGCUCACUGGUCCGGUACUGACGCUGAGGUGCGAAAGCGUGGGGAGCAAACAGGAUUAGAUACCCGAGUAGUCC